RNAcentral lists this ribosomal RNA (346 nucleotides) under uncultured bacterium. RNAcentral's name for it is "partial 16S ribosomal RNA". It matches the Rfam family "Bacterial small subunit ribosomal RNA", at positions 338 to 681 of the family's 1533-position model. The record is from RNAcentral.
CCUACGGGAGGCAGCAGUGAGGAAGAGUGGUCAAUGGGCGCGAGCCUGAACCAGCCAAGUAGCGUGAAGGAUGACUGCCCUACGGGUUGUAAACUUCUUUUAUAAAGGAAGAAAGUGAGGCACGUGGGCCUUGUUGUAUGUACUUUAUGAAUAAGGAUCGGCUAACUCCGUGCCAGCAGCCGCGGUAAUACGGAGGAUCCGAGCGUUCUCCGGAGUUAUUGGGUUUCAAGGGAGCGUAGGUGGAUUGUUAAGUCAGUUGUGAAAGUUUGCGGCUCAACCGUAAAAUUGCAGUUGAAACUGGCAGUCUUGAGUACAGUAGCGGUGGGCGGCAUUCGUGUUGUAGCGG